Molecule: ribosomal RNA, 521 nt
Filed under: Sungouiella intermedia
Lineage: Eukaryota; Fungi; Ascomycota; Pichiomycetes; Serinales; Metschnikowiaceae
Description: [Candida] intermedia partial large subunit ribosomal RNA
Rfam family: Eukaryotic large subunit ribosomal RNA
Source: RNAcentral
AAACCAACAGGGAUUGCCUCAGUAACGGCGAGUGAAGCGGCAAAAGCUCAAAUUUGAAAUCCUUCGGGAGUUGUAAUUUGUAGGUUGGGAGACCCCGCGGCUAGUGGCACCAAGUCCCUUGGAACAGGGCGCCUUAGAGGGUGAGAGCCCCGUAGGUACCACAAUACCGUCUUGUGUCUCCUCUCCAAAGAGUCGAGUUGUUUGGGAAUGCAGCUCAAAGUGGGUGGUAAAUUCCAUCUAAAGCUAAAUACCGGCGAGAGACCGAUAGCGAACAAGUACAGUGAUGGAAAGAUGAAAAGCACUUUGAAAAGAGAGUGAAACAGUACGUGAAAUUGUUGAAAGGGAAGGGCUUGCAAGCAGACACGGCCUUCGUGCCGGGCCAGCAUCGGUUGCUAGGGGUGGAUAAGGAACAAGGAAUGUAGCUCCUCGGAGUAUUAUAGCCUUGCGCGAUACACCCACUGGCGACCGAGGCCUGCGGUAUUCUUUACCUAGGAUGCUGGCGUAAUGGUUGCAAGCCGCCC